GUUAACAUAGUUUAAAAAAAACAUUGUCUUUUCAAGACAAAAAUGAUUAAUUAUCUAUUAAU
This 62-nucleotide transfer RNA is filed under the name Trogoderma granarium. Its description in RNAcentral is "tRNA-Glu". The record is from RNAcentral. Lineage: Eukaryota; Metazoa; Arthropoda; Insecta; Coleoptera; Dermestidae.